UGAAUCAUUUUUCAAAAUGGAUGAUAACUGCAAUUGUAUUCAUCAUUUUGUUUUUCUUUUCAUGUACUGUUCUUUGCAGUUUUUCCAAAAGAAAAGGUCAGAGAACGUGCCUGAACCGUAGAUGCCUAGCCUACUAUCAACACUGUUACCCACACCAACAGAGACGGAGAACUUAAUGAGCCACCACCACCAGACAGACAUAAUUGAAAAUUACUGCUUUGUGCAACCAUCAUCAAAGAAGCAUCAUUUUUGCAAGGUGGGAGCAAAUAUAAAGACUCAGACAUUACACAGAGAGUGAGAAACCUUGAAAUGCUCAGCCUCAAAUCUCCUUAAAUCCCUCCAAUUAAAGCUCAGAGGAGUCUGCAAAAGUGGAGGGCGGAAAGAGUUGGAAGAACCAGAGGGGAAUGGAGGACUUAAAAAACAAACAAACAACAACAAGAAAACAACAAACCAGGCCUUCUAAUUUACCAUCAAAAUGCUCACAUGAGCUCACAGAGAUUGAAACUGCAGGCACAGAGCUUGCCCAGGUCUGCACCAAGUCCUCUGUAUAUAUACUAUGGUUUCCAGUUUAGUGUAUUCAUGGAAUUUCUGAGGGUACAAAUUUGUCUGUCUCUGAUUCUGUGCUUUUUCUUGACCCCUUUCCCUUCUGUUGGUUUGUCUUGUCCAAAUUUGAUGUGAUAAUAUUUGUUUUAUUAUAUUACAUUUUGAAAAAAAAAGAAUGGAAGAAGGAAGGAAGGAAGGAAGGAAGGAAGGAAGGAAGGAAGGAAGGAAGGAAGGAAGGAAGGAAAGAAGGAAGGAAUGAUAGAAGAGAUGAAAACGUAGUCACUAAGGUAAAGGUUAACAACUGAACUGUCACUUAUACUUGCUGGGAAAGGAAAAAGCAGUUUUGUUCAACAGAGAGUGAUACAGGGUAUUUCAUCCACUUUAGUCAGGCCUCAUGUUCAACAGUAGCUGAUCAACUUUUAAUGGA
Molecule: long non-coding RNA, 970 nt
Organism: Psammomys obesus (fat sand rat)
Lineage: Eukaryota; Metazoa; Chordata; Mammalia; Rodentia; Muridae
Exons: 3
Source: RefSeq, a predicted model, not a curated record